RNAcentral lists this ribosomal RNA (119 nucleotides) under Chilodonella cyprini. RNAcentral describes it as "5.8S ribosomal RNA". It matches the Rfam family "5.8S ribosomal RNA", at positions 1 to 117 of the family's 154-position model. Rfam says of the family: 5.8S ribosomal RNA (5.8S rRNA) is a component of the large subunit of the eukaryotic ribosome. It is transcribed by RNA polymerase I as part of the 45S precursor that also contains 18S and 28S rRNA. Lineage: Eukaryota; Ciliophora; Phyllopharyngea; Chlamydodontida; Chilodonellidae. The record is from RNAcentral.
GAAAAUUUUCAACGGUGGAUAUCUAGGUUCCCGUGACGAUGAAGAACGCAGCGAAAUGCGAUACGCAAUGCGAAUUGCAGAAUCCGCGAGUCAUCAGAUCUUUGAACGCAAGUGGUGGA